This 459-nucleotide ribosomal RNA is filed under the name uncultured bacterium. Its description in RNAcentral is "partial 16S ribosomal RNA". It matches the Rfam family "Bacterial small subunit ribosomal RNA", at positions 338 to 795 of the family's 1533-position model. The record is from RNAcentral.
CCUACGGGUGGCAGCAGUGAGGAAUAUUGGUCAAUGGCCGAAAGUCUGAACCAGCCAAGCAGCGUGAAGGACGAAUGUGCCAAGCGUUGUAAACUUCUUUUGUCAAGGGACAAAAUCAGGCUCGAGAGCCUGACCGCGGGUACUUGAAGAAAAAGCAUCGGCUAACUCCGUGCCAGCAGCCGCGGUAAUACGGAGGAUGCGAGCGUUAUCCGGAUUUAUUGGGUUUAAAGGGUGCGUAGGCGGACUGUUAAGUCAGCGGUAAAAGUCCGGGGCUCAACCCCGGAGAGCCGUUGAAACUGGCUGUCUUGAGAUGUCGAGAGGUAUGCGGAAUGCGCAGUGUAGCGGUGAAAUGCUUAGAUAUUGCGAAGAACUCCGAUUGCGAAGGCAGCAUACCGGCGGCGAUCUGACACUGAGGCACGAAAGCGUGGGUAUCGAACAGGAUUAGAUACCCCAGUAGUC